Molecule: ribosomal RNA, 301 nt
Filed under: uncultured bacterium
Lineage: Bacteria
Description: partial 16S ribosomal RNA
Rfam family: Bacterial small subunit ribosomal RNA
Source: RNAcentral
CAGUCGCCGCGGUAAUACGAAGGGUGCAAGCGUUACUCGGAAUUACUGGGCGUAAAGCGCACGUAGGCGGCUUUGUAAGUUAGAGGUGAAAGCCUGGAGCUCAACUCCAGAAUUGCCUUUAAGACUGCAUCGCUUGAAUCCAGGAGAGGUGAGUGGAAUUCCGAGUGUAGAGGUGAAAUUCGUAGAUAUUCGGAAGAACACCAGUGGCGAAGGCGGCUCACUGGACUGGUAUUGACGCUGAGGUGCGAAAGCGUGGGGAGCAAACAGGAUUAGAUACCCCCGUAGUCCCUGUCUCUUAUAC